RNAcentral lists this ribosomal RNA (120 nucleotides) under Homolaphlyctis polyrhiza JEL 142. RNAcentral describes it as "5.8S ribosomal RNA". Lineage: Eukaryota; Fungi; Chytridiomycota; Chytridiomycetes; Rhizophydiales. The record is from RNAcentral.
GGGUGCAAUAUGCGUUCAAAGAUUCAAUGAUUCACGGAAUUCUGCAAUUCCCAUUACGUAUCGCAUUUCGCUGCGUUCUUCAUCGUUGCAAGAGCCAAGAGAUCCAUUGUCAAAAGUUGU